RNAcentral lists this long non-coding RNA (632 nucleotides) under Brachypodium distachyon (stiff brome). RNAcentral's name for it is "long non-coding RNA (BDIS_LNC004996)". Lineage: Eukaryota; Viridiplantae; Streptophyta; Magnoliopsida; Poales; Poaceae. The record is from RNAcentral.
CCUUAGCCUUGUUACGGACUUCGGCAUCCGAAUCUUCCUUAGUCAAAUCCACCGCACUUGGUGGCUUGGCAUGGAAGGACUCGGUAGAACAAGAAGAGGCUUUGUUAGGUAGGUGCUCACUAAUAUUUUUGUCCACACUAUCUAGAAUAACUUUUUGCAUGCUAUCCAAAAGCAAUUUGAUGGAUUUAAAAGUUAGUGGAGCAUUAUCAUCUAUCACCUCGGUUUCUUGGGGUUUCACGGUGGGUUCCCCAUCAUCGCCGGCCAUACUCUUAAGAGUGUUAAAGCCCUAAUUAAGAGACGAAGCUCUGAUACCAAUUGAAAGAUCGGUAUGGUCGACUAGAGGGUGGGGUGAAUAGGAGACUAACAAAUUUUAGUUUUUUUUUCUUUUCUUGAAAGAUACAACACUUAAUCGUAGUAUUUACUAGAUUCUCUAAAGUGAAUGCAACCCUAAAAUGAAAUGCAAUAGCCGAAGCAACAAUAGAUAGCAAGAAUGUAAGGGGGAAAUGAUACCACACGUAGAGACGAAGAUUUCACCGGAGUUCCACCUAUUGGGAUCGGUGUACGUCUCCGUAUGGAGGAGCGCUCUACCACAAAGGUAGAGACGCCACAAAGGCUCACUCUAUUCUCCAACU